GGGGAUAGAGCUCAGUUGGUAGAGUGGUUGCUUCAUAUGCAUAAAGCCCUGCAUUCAAUCCCCAGCACCA
RNAcentral lists this transfer RNA (70 nucleotides) under Marmota monax (woodchuck). RNAcentral's name for it is "tRNA.Met". The record is from RNAcentral. Lineage: Eukaryota; Metazoa; Chordata; Mammalia; Rodentia; Sciuridae.